RNAcentral lists this ribosomal RNA (1394 nucleotides) under metagenome. RNAcentral's name for it is "bacterial SSU rRNA". It matches the Rfam family "Bacterial small subunit ribosomal RNA". The record is from RNAcentral.
GUCGAACGAACUCUUCGGAGUUAGUGGCGGACGGGUGAGUAACACGUGAGAACCUACCCUUAGGAUGGGGACAACAGUUGGAAACGACUGCUAAUACCCGAUGUGCCGAGAGGUGAAAGAUUUAUCGCCUAGGGAAGGGCUCGCGGCUGAUUAGCUAGUUGGUAAGGUAAAGGCUUACCAAGGCGACGAUCAGUAGCUGGUCUGAGAGGAUGAGCAGCCACACUGGGACUGAGACACGGCCCAGACUCCUACGGGAGGCAGCAGUGGGGAAUUUUCCGCAAUGGGCGAAAGCCUGACGGAGCAAUACCGCGUGUGGGAGGAAGGCUCUUGGGUUGUAAACCACUUUUCUCAGGGAAGAAUAGAUGACGGUACCUGAGGAAUAAGCAUCGGCUAACUCCGUGCCAGCAGCCGCGGUAAUACGGAGGAUGCAAGCGUUAUCCGGAAUCAUUGGGCGUAAAGCGUCCGCAGGUGGCCUAUCAAGUCUGCUGUCAAAGCGCAGAGCUCAACUUUGUAAAGGCAGUGGAAACUGGUAAGCUAGAGUACGGUAGGGGUAGCGGGAAUUCCCAGUGUAGCGGUGAAAUGCGUAGAUAUUGGGAAGAACAUCGGUGGCGAAGGCGCGCUACUGGGCCGAAACUGACACUGAGGGACGAAAGCUAGGGGAGCGAAAGGGAUUAGAUACCCCUGUAGUCCUAGCCGUAAACGAUGGAAACUAGGCGUGGCUUGUAUCGACCCGAGCCGUGCCGAAGCUAACGCGUUAAGUUUCCCGCCUGGGGAGUACGCACGCAAGUGUGAAACUCAAAGGAAUUGACGGGGGCCCGCACAAGCGGUGGAGUAUGUGGUUUAAUUCGAUGCAACGCGAAGAACCUUACCAAGGCUUGACAUGUCGCGAAUCCUGCUGAAAGGUGGGAGUGCCUUAGGGAGCGCGAACACAGGUGGUGCAUGGCUGUCGUCAGCUCGUGUCGUGAGAUGUUGGGUUAAGUCCCGCAACGAGCGCAACCCUCGUUUUUAGUUGCCAGCAUUAAGUUGGGCACUCUAGAGAGACUGCCGGUGACAAACCGGAGGAAGGUGGGGAUGACGUCAAGUCAGCAUGCCCCUUACGUCUUGGGCAACACACGUACUACAAUGGUCGGGACAAAGAGCAGCGACCUCGCGAGAGUAAGCGAAUCUCAUCAAACCCGGCCUCAGUUCAGAUUGCAGGCUGCAACUCGCCUGCAUGAAGGAGGAAUCGCUAGUAAUCGCAGGUCAGCAUACUGCGGUGAAUUCGUUCCCGGGCCUUGUACACACCGCCCGUCACACCAUGGAAGCUGGCCACACCCGAAGUCGUUACCCUAACCUUUCGAGGAGGGGGACGCCGAAGGUAGGGCUAGUGACUGGGGUGAAGUCGUAACAAGGUA